Molecule: long non-coding RNA, 820 nt
Filed under: Zostera marina
Lineage: Eukaryota; Viridiplantae; Streptophyta; Magnoliopsida; Alismatales; Zosteraceae
Description: long non-coding RNA (ZMAR_LNC003446)
Source: RNAcentral
GCUUGAUAAUUUCAACCAUGGAGCCUGCAAAGUCGAUAGAUGGAUUGAUACCGUUGAUUAUCCGAGUGGUCAGGAACAAGAAUGAUAAACAGACAAGGACGGAGCACAAUCAGGUCGGGAGCGCGACGAACACAGCCGAACGGGAGAAUCAGGUUGGGAAAGUCGAUGGUUUUGUAGAAAUGGUCGGUAGUUUUCGCUGGCCGGAACAUUUUGUAGAUCCAUCUUUGGUUGGUAAGAGAGAAAGUAGACGUAGGAAGGUGAUGUCGUGGAUAGCAGGUGGGAGUUGAUUGUAUAGAUAGAUAGAUAGAUAGAUAGAUUAAAUCAUGUGUUAUUACCUGCUGGUUUUUAUUUACGCAUUGGCGUUCCUCCGGUGACUAUUCUCCGGCGAUCUCCUUGUAGUUUUCUUUCACCUCUUCUGCUCCCGAUUAAUAAUGAAAACAACAGUUGAAAGAAUCUACAUCGUUAAAAUGAAUUAUAAAAUCCGAACUUUGCUUCCCGUCUUUGUCGAAUCUAUAUGCUGAAAACAAUACAGAUGUUCAUUAUAAACUUUUUUCAUGACUAAUUUACCCUUUUUCAUUUAAGUGUUAAUUAUUUGGGUUCACAUCUUACGUUUUGACGAAGUAAAUAAAAAUUAAAGUAUAUAUAUUAAAACUCGAAUCUUAGACCAACUCUACACCCCGUCUUCCUCAGCUCGCUAGUUGAGUAGUGUUGUUGUUGAAUGCAGAUUUUCGUCGGCUUCCUUGUGGGCUCUGUCGCCAAUUUUCUCCGGUAGUAAAACGGUGGUUACUUUAAGCGUCGACGUGUAUAAAUCUCCUGUCAC